GACGAACGCUGGCGGCGUGCUUAACACAUGCCAGUCGAACGGAAAGGCCCUGCUUUUGUGGGGUGCUCGAGUGGCGAACGGGUGAGUAACACGUGAGUAACCUGCCCUUGACUUUGGGAUAACUUCAGGAAACUGGGGCUAAUACCGGAUAGGAGCUCCUGCUGCAUGGUGGGGGUUGGAAAGUUUCGGCGGUUGGGGAUGGACUCGCGGCUUAUCAGCUUGUUGGUGGGGUAGUGGCUUACCAAGGCUUUGACGGGUAGCCGGCCUGAGAGGGUGACCGGCCACAUUGGGACUGAGAUACGGCCCAGACUCCUACGGGAGGCAGCAGUGGGGAAUAUUGCACAAUGGGCGGAAGCCUGAUGCAGCAACGCCGCGUGCGGUAUGACGGCCUUCGGGUUGUAAACCGCUUUCGCCUGUGACGAAGCGUGAGUGACGGUAAUGGGUAAAGAAGCACCGGCUAACUACGUG
Molecule: ribosomal RNA, 468 nt
Filed under: uncultured bacterium
Lineage: Bacteria
Description: partial 16S ribosomal RNA
Rfam family: Bacterial small subunit ribosomal RNA
Source: RNAcentral